CAUGGUUGGGGGUGUAAAGCUUUUGCGGUGUGGGAUGGGCCCGCGGCCUAUCAGCUUGUUGGUGGGGUAAUGGCCUACCAAGGCGACGACGGGUAGCCGGCCUGAGAGGGUGACCGGCCACACUGGGACUGAGAUACGGCCCAGACUCCUACGGGAGGCAGCAGUGGGGAAUAUUGCACAAUGGGCGCAAGCCUGAUGCAGCGACGCCGCGUGAGGGAUGACGGCCUUCGGGUUGUAAACCUCUUUCAAUAGGGACGAAGCGCAAGUGACGGUACCUAUAGAAGAAGGACCGGCCAACUACGUG
RNAcentral lists this ribosomal RNA (304 nucleotides) under uncultured bacterium. Its description in RNAcentral is "bacterial SSU rRNA". It matches the Rfam family "Bacterial small subunit ribosomal RNA", at positions 188 to 507 of the family's 1533-position model. The record is from RNAcentral.